UAUAGCAGCCGCACACACCUUGUUGGAUUGAAACUUGUGGAUUUAUUCCCUGUGAGCGCCAGAGAUUGCCCACCGCAGGAGUGCCAGACUACAGUGCCUCCUGCGCCCCGCCCCCCUCGUUGGCAAGAUGUAUGGUACUGGGUAGGCCUCCACGUGCCCCUUCAGCCUCCCUCCCCCUUCCUCCUCCUACUCCGACCACCACCACCACCACCACCACCCAUCACCUCGAGUCUACGUUGGAAUGUGUUUUGGUGAGUUUAGCCUUACAAGAGCCAAGACGUCUAACUGAUACCUGUACUUCCUUUGUGUUUCUUUUUGUCUCCCUACUUCAGUCCUACAACAUCCAACACGUGUACUACUAAUAUUUGCACUUCCUUUGUGUUCCUUCCUGUCUCCCUCCCCUCCCCUUCCUUUUAAUUUCAUAGCACCCGAUUUUCCGCAUUAGUAUCGGCACCUUCCUCGUCUCCUGUGUGAUCCCCGGAAGCCUCCAAUCAGUUCCCCUGUGACGCCCACCAGGUGCUCCCCGUACCCCCGCCUCACCUGUCCAAGUCGCUACCCGAGGGCGUGGCGUGUUUGGCCCGUGUUGUGAUGUGUGUGCCUCGCUUAAUUUUGUGGCGAAUUUGUGUGUUAUUUGUGUGUUAUUGUGUUAAAUUUGUCUGUUAUA
This is a long non-coding RNA of Scylla paramamosain (green mud crab), 664 nucleotides long. RefSeq lists it as uncharacterized. NCBI's taxonomy places the organism in Eukaryota, Metazoa, Arthropoda, Malacostraca, Decapoda, Portunidae. The record is from RefSeq and is a predicted model, not a curated record. The transcript has 3 exons.